This 1965-nucleotide long non-coding RNA is filed under the name Homo sapiens (human). Its description in RNAcentral is "non-protein coding lnc-COTL1-3:1". Lineage: Eukaryota; Metazoa; Chordata; Mammalia; Primates; Hominidae. The record is from RNAcentral.
GGGCGUGCGCCUGCCGGGCCGCGGACAUCCCCUGCCCCGCCUGGAGCCUGCCGGACUCUGAGCCCCGCGACCCUCGGGCGGAAGCGGCCGGGCGGCUGCACACCAGGAGCCCGCCGAGGCCUGGCUGUGGAUCCGGAAGGGGAGAGGGCAGGCAGGUAGAGGUGGCAACGCCAAGGCGCCGGCGGGCCCGGCUCCUCACCUACUGGGGGCCACCUGGGCCCCCGGAGCCCGGGAGUCGCGGGCUGAGGUCGGCCUGGGGCCCACGAGCCGCCCUCAGCGUACCUGGGCCCGGGCCUCGGGAGUGUUCGCAUUAGAUCCCCGAGGAGGGUCUGGUUUAUGAAGAUCCCGUUGCCGCGCAUUCAUUCAUUUGUUCACUCUUCAUUCACUCCCCAAGUCCUGCCUGGGCGCCUGGGCCACGCCUUUGGCUAGGCAUUAGGGGAAAAAAGCAAAACAGACAAAAACAAAACGUAGGGCAUAAAAGCACGCGUAAAGUGCUUGACAUGAGGCCUGGCAAGUAGCAAACACUCAGCAAGUGCUACGUGUUGCACACGUGCGUGCGUGUGCACGGGCAAACCAGCCUUGGGGGUCGUUGGUUCAUUCAUUAUUAAGAAACAGGGGCCCCUGCCUAACUGCACUGUUUUCCAGCCAGUGGGUCCACCCUUGGGUUUUGGCCCCUUUUCUAGCUGUGAUUUCAGACAAGCGACUUUCCUUCCCUAAGCCUUGGUUUCCUCACCUGUGAAUAAGACAAAUAUGUCAUAACGCGUAAGAUUUCUGUGAGGUUCAAAUUAGAUUAACGUGAGCACACUGGCCAAGAGAAUAGUCAAUAAAAAUUGGCUACUGGGAUUGUUAUUAAUAACCAUUACUAUUGGUUUCAUUUAUUCAACAAACACCUACAGAGAGUCUGCUCUUGCUAGACCGUACACUGAGCAGAGGAGAUGAACAGGAAGAUCCAUUCCCACGUUACAUAAAAUAGGGAGCCUGGUCUCUUCAUAAAUGGGAUGCCAUGAAAAAUAUAAGUGGGCCAGGCGCAGCGGCUCACACCCGGAAUCCCACACAUUGGGAGGCCGAGGCGGGCGGAUCACUUGAAGUCAGGAGUUGGAGACCAGCCUGGCUAAUAUGAUGAAACCCCAACUCUACUAAAAAUACAAAAAUUGGUGGGAUGUAGUGUGGCACACCAGGCGUCCCAGCUACUCAGGAGGCUGAGGUGGGAGGAUCACUUGAACCCCGGAGACGGAGGUUGCGGUGAGCCGAGAUCGUGCCACUGCACUCCAGCCUGGGUGACAGAGCGAGUCUCUGUCUCAAAAAAAAAAAAAGAAAGAAAGAAAGAAAGAAAAGAAAAGAAAAAUAUAAGUGGUAGGGAGGGGUUGUUCCAAAAUAGAAGAGCUAGAAAACAUAACCAAAUACAAUGUGUCAUCUUGCUUGGAUCCUGAUAUGUCUUUUAAGCUGGUUUUACUAUUUGUUGACAAUUGGAGACAUUUGAAUAUGGAUUGGAUAUGGGUGAUCUUCGUGAAUUAUUGGUAAUUUUAUAGUGUAAUAAUUAUACUGUGCUCACUGAGAGAAUGUCCUUAUUGUGAGGAGAUGCAUUCUGAAGAGUUGAGGAGUGAAGGCCAUAAUGCCUGUAAACUAUUGUUUAAUGGUUCAACAAAAGAUAAAAUCAUGUACACACAUAAACAUUCAGGGAGAGACAGCAAAUAUGGCAAAAUGUUUACUAUUGUUGGCUCUAAGUAGUGCUAUAUAUUUCAGCUUUUCUCUAUGUUUGAAAAUUUUUAUAACAAAAAAUUGGGGAAAACAAUACAAUAUAGUGUCUGUGCUAUAAUUUUAACCAUGGAAAAGCGAUAUCUGCACUUGGAUAGAAACUGGGGGACGUGAAAACUCACUAGUGAUUUAUGGUUGUCUCUCUGGCUCGGUGCGGUGGCUCACACCUGUAAUCUCAGCACUUUGGAAGGCUGAGGUGGGUGGAUCACC